Molecule: long non-coding RNA, 1138 nt
Organism: Rhagoletis zephyria (snowberry fruit fly)
Lineage: Eukaryota; Metazoa; Arthropoda; Insecta; Diptera; Tephritidae
Source: RefSeq, a predicted model, not a curated record
AGUGGUGCCGUUUUGCUGAUUCGCCGUUACGCCGCAGCGCUGCAUUUUCAGUUCGGUUUCGUGCAUUAACGUGUAAGGACGUUCGAAUAACGGUGGCCGUAUAUUGGAAAUUCGGCAUUUCGUGUUGUUUGAGUGUGUUCGAUUAGAAAAAAAUAUUGAAAUAAUGCAAGCAAUCACGUUUAGACAACUAAUUUGAAGCAACAAAAAUCUGUGUAAAUAACAGUUCCAUGUUAAAAAAAUAAAAUUAAACCACUUGACGAAAAAUAAAAUUACGGAAGCGUUUUGUUGUGCUGCGGUACGCGACACAGCAUCCGUAAACGCGUUCAUUGUGUUUGAGAAGCGGCAGACACAUGCCAGUAAAACGCCUCCUCCGCCUGAAUGCAAAUCGAAGAAAAUUCGUUCUUGCCGCGCCACAAAUACAAAAUGAUAAAAUUGAUGAAUGAAUGAAGCGCCAACGUAUUUUUCUUACAAUACUGUUGAAGAAUUGAUGGCAAAUUAGAUCUCUCACCUUCGCCAAAGACAAAUCAUAAGAAAUUCUCUGAGUACGUGCUACUCAAAAGCAAUUUAAAAAAUUAAGAUAUAAAUUUUAUGAGUUUUUCGCCAGCGAAGGUCGCGUCAAAGGUCAAAUCAUACCAAAAAGCAAGUGUGUACCAAAAAAGGUGUACAAAUAUAUAUGUAUAUGUAAUUCAAAUGCAAAUUUUAAUAUUGUAACUAAAAAUUGCAAAAUGUGCGGUAUUGUAUAAAUUACAAACAAAACACAUAACGGUUCCCGUAAAAAUUUUGCGCUAGUAGUAAUAAAAGCAUAUUUAUUUACGACACUAAGUGGAAAACAUGUGCAAAAAUAUAUACAAACAAAAGUGAAACAGAAAUAAAUAGUAUUUACACGCGUAAUCACUGCCGUAGUCUUCACCAGCAUCAGCCCAACACUGCCUCAAGGAGCAGCCGCCGUUCCAAACAGCAAACUCCGCGCAUUUGAUGCUCUACGCCUUUACGCCCAAUUGCCGCGACGCUGUUGGGCAUUCCCGACAUUGGCAGUGGCACUGACUUGCGUCAACAAGAAAAAAAUAACAAAAGCUCACAAACCAAGUGCAAAGGAGCAACAUCCUCUUCUUCAGUCGGCGUGUCCUAGAUGUAAGUG